Molecule: unclassified non-coding RNA, 334 nt
Filed under: Hevea brasiliensis (rubber tree)
Lineage: Eukaryota; Viridiplantae; Streptophyta; Magnoliopsida; Malpighiales; Euphorbiaceae
Source: RNAcentral
CCAAAAGACAAUCUCUAAAAGCUAGUUCAUCAGCAGCAUUUGAUCCUACUGUUGGAGUUUGGACAAGGAACCAUGGAAUGAAGGAAACAGUAGAACUUGCGAUGAAGUUGCAGUCUGAGAUGCAAAUUUGGUUCGUAAAUUUUGUUGAGGACUCUCUGAAUGCAGGUUUUCGGGCUUUGGGGGGUUGUACAAUUGAUGGAAGUAAACCACUGCCCUUCAACUUCAGCUCCGUUGCAGGUAUAUUAUCGCAGUUGAAGAGAGUAAAUGAUUGGUUGGACCGUGUGGUGUCAAAGGGGGAUGAAUUUCUUGACGAAAAGAUUGAGAAACUCAAGCG